This 79-nucleotide small RNA is filed under the name Mesonia algae. Its description in RNAcentral is "Flavo-1 RNA". It matches the Rfam family "Flavo-1 RNA". The record is from Rfam by way of RNAcentral. Lineage: Bacteria; Pseudomonadati; Bacteroidota; Flavobacteriia; Flavobacteriales; Flavobacteriaceae.
UUUGCGCUAGGGAUAGUAGCGGCAUCCUUUUUUUGCUUUUUAAAAGCAGAAAAAGAUAUAGCGAAUAGCCCGACCCAAA